CCUACGGGUGGCAGCAGUGAGGAAUAUUGGUCAAUGGCCGUAAGGCUGAACCAGCCAAGUAGCGUGAGGGAAGACUGCCCUAUGGGUUGUAAACAUCUUUUAUGCGGGGACAAAGGUGUCCACGCGUGGAUGUUUGCAGGUACCGCAUGAAUAAGGACCGGCUAAUUCCGUGCCAGCAGCCGCGGUAAUACGGAAGGUCCGGGCGUUAUCCGGAUUUAUUGGGUUUAAAGGGAGCGUAGGCCGGUCUUUAAGUGUGCCGUUAAAUUUCGUGGCUCAACCAUGGGAGUGCGGCGCAAACUGGCAGCCUUGAGUGCGCGGAAGGCAGGCGGAAUGCGUGGUGUAGCGGUGAAAUGCUUAGAUAUCACGAAGAACCCCGAUUGCGAAGGCAGCAUGCCGCAGCGUUACUGACGCUGAGGCUCGAAAGCGCGGGUAUCGAACAGGAUUAGAUACCCGUGUAGUC
This 460-nucleotide ribosomal RNA is filed under the name uncultured bacterium. Its description in RNAcentral is "partial 16S ribosomal RNA". It matches the Rfam family "Bacterial small subunit ribosomal RNA", at positions 338 to 795 of the family's 1533-position model. The record is from RNAcentral.